GACGAACGCUGGCGGCGUGCCUAAUACAUGCAAGUAGAACGCUGAAGAGAGGAGCUUGCUCUUCUUGGAUGAGUUGCGAACGGGUGAGUAACGCGUAGGUAACCUGCCUUGUAGCGGGGGAUAACUAUUGGAAACGAUAGCUAAUACCGCAUAACAAUAGGUGACACAUGUCAUUUAUUUGAAAGGGGCAAUUGCUCCACUACAAGAUGGACCUGCGUUGUAUUAGCUAGUAGGUGAGGUAACGGCUCACCUAGGCGACGAUACAUAGCCGACCUGAGAGGGUGAUCGGCCAAACUGGGACUGAGACACGGCCCAGACUCCUACGGGAGGCAGCAGUAGGGAAUCUUCGGCAAUGGGGGCAACCCUGACCGAGCAACGCCGCGUGAGUGAAGAAGGUUUUCGGAUCGUAAAGCUCUGUUGUAAGUCAAGAACGAGUGUGAGAGUGGAAAGUUCACACUGUGACGGUAGCUUACCAGAAAGAGACGGCUAACUACGUG
RNAcentral lists this ribosomal RNA (497 nucleotides) under uncultured bacterium. RNAcentral's name for it is "partial 16S ribosomal RNA". It matches the Rfam family "Bacterial small subunit ribosomal RNA", at positions 28 to 507 of the family's 1533-position model. The record is from RNAcentral.